AAUCAACGCUGGCGGCGCGCUUAACACAUGCAAGUCGAACGAGAAAGGGGAGCAAUCCCUGAGUACAGUGGCGUACGGGUGAGUAACACGUGGGUCAUCUACCCUUGGGUGGGGAAUAACCCUGGGAAACCGGGGCUAAUACCGCAUAUCUCCGAGAGGAGAAAGUCGCAAGACGCCUAAGGAGGAGCCCGCGGCCGAUUAGCUAGUUGGUAGGGUAAAAGCCUACCAAGGCUCAGAUCGGUAGCCGGCCUGAGAGGGCACUCGGCCACACUGGCACUGAAACACGGGCCAGACUCCUACGGGAGGCAGCAGUGGGGAAUCUUGCACAAUGGGGGAAACCCUGAUGCAGCGACGCCGCGUGAGCGAUGAAGCCC
RNAcentral lists this ribosomal RNA (374 nucleotides) under uncultured bacterium. RNAcentral describes it as "bacterial SSU rRNA". It matches the Rfam family "Bacterial small subunit ribosomal RNA", at positions 32 to 416 of the family's 1533-position model. The record is from RNAcentral.